Molecule: transfer RNA, 66 nt
Filed under: Cordylochernes scorpioides
Lineage: Eukaryota; Metazoa; Arthropoda; Arachnida; Pseudoscorpiones; Chernetidae
Description: tRNA-Thr
Rfam family: tRNA (bases 2-59)
About the family: Transfer RNA (tRNA) molecules are approximately 80 nucleotides in length. Their secondary structure includes four short double-helical elements and three loops (D, anti-codon, and T loops).
Source: RNAcentral
CUAGCCUAGUGGUCAUGGCAUCUGCCCGGUAAGCGGAAGGUCGUGGGUUCGAUUCCCAUCCCUUGA